UUUUCUCAAAUACCAACAUUUCAUUAAGUUUUCUCUUCUAUCCAAGGUGUUUUACAAUAAAUGGAUGAGCUGGCACAAUUAUUACUUUUUAUACCCACUUUCACUCUCCUCCAUUAGCAAUCAUCCAGAGACUGAAACAUCAAACAUAGACAAAUCAUUUCCUUCGUCUUCUCAUCCAAAAUUUAUGAUCAUGGCUUAUAAUGAUUUCUUUAAAACAAUAGACUUCAAAUUUAAGGCUUCUAAUCAUUUCUUUCGUCUUCUCAUCUAAGAUUCACCCAAACAGCGUCGCUGUCAUCACUCCCCAUCGUCCUAAAGCUCUCAACGCCAUGAACUUAGGUCAAUCGUAUCACAUUUUCUUUUUUUUAAUCUAUUAAUAAUUGUUGUAAUUUCAAUUUUAAUGUUUGAUUACUAUAUAGAACAUUCGAAUUUGGAUUGCUGAUAUAGAUGCUAAGUACAAAAGUUUUCUGGGUGUAUGGGAAUCGGAUCUGAUUAACUUUGAUUGGCAGCUCUCAAAGGUACCCAGAUGUUAAGUACAAUAAGUGUGUUCUUAUUGAAGGCAACUCUCCUAGUGCAUUUUGUGCUGGUAAUCGUUUAAUUUGAAUUUCCGAAAACGAGACUCUUUAAUUUAGUUAUAUUACUAUUAAUGAAUAAUCUGGAAGGAAUCUUUUCAAUUGGUUCUUUCAGGCUAUUGAUGAUCCUUCAUUCUAAUCCCCUUUGGCUCAACGGAGGUGUCUUUGAAAGUGUCAACUUCAUAUUUACCAAAUUGCAUAUAGUAUUUUUUUGUGGAGCUUUGUCUUCAUAUUUGAGUGUUUACAAUUUGUUUUACUAUUUUUAUUUUAAAAAAUGUAGCAGAGCUGUAUUUGAGACGUAUCACUGUAGUUCUGAGAUGUAUCUGAAUUUUUUUAAGAUGUAUAUCUACAUUUUUAAUUUAAACU
Molecule: long non-coding RNA, 935 nt
Organism: Mercurialis annua (annual mercury)
Lineage: Eukaryota; Viridiplantae; Streptophyta; Magnoliopsida; Malpighiales; Euphorbiaceae
Exons: 2
Source: RefSeq, a predicted model, not a curated record